UACGGAGGGGGCUAGCGUUGUUCGGAAUUACUGGGCGUAAAGCGCACGUAGGCGGCUUUGUAAGUUAGAGGUGAAAGCCCGGAGCUCAACUCCGGAAUUGCCUUUAAGACUGCAUCGCUCGAAUCAUGGAGAGGUGAGUGGAAUUCCGAGUGUAGAGGUGAAAUUCGUAGAUAUUCGGAAGAACACCAGUGGCGAAGGCGACUCACUGGACAUGUAUUGACGCUGAGGUGCGAAAGCGUAGGGAGCAAACAGG
This 253-nucleotide ribosomal RNA is filed under the name uncultured bacterium. RNAcentral describes it as "partial 16S ribosomal RNA". It matches the Rfam family "Bacterial small subunit ribosomal RNA", at positions 524 to 776 of the family's 1533-position model. The record is from RNAcentral.